Long non-coding RNA from Meleagris gallopavo (turkey), 258 nucleotides. RefSeq lists it as uncharacterized. The record is from RefSeq and is a predicted model, not a curated record. Lineage: Eukaryota; Metazoa; Chordata; Aves; Galliformes; Phasianidae.
CUCUGCUGGAGUUUUGUAAGAGAGCCCAGGAUAUGGGCCUCCUCCUACAAACAAGUUCCUUCCUCAAGUAUAGGAAUACAAGAAAGCAGAAGGAGAGGUGCUCCAGCCCUCUGAGUAUCUUCACAGCCCUUCUCUGGACCUGCUCCAAUAGCUCUGCAUCCUUCUUGUGCUGGAGGCCUAGGCCUGUAUGCAGUGCUCUGAACAAAAGGUACUCUAAAAUACUUUCUGGUGAAUCUCUGCAUUCUGGAGUGCUGACUG